This 1051-nucleotide ribosomal RNA is filed under the name uncultured Caldithrix sp. Its description in RNAcentral is "bacterial SSU rRNA". It matches the Rfam family "Bacterial small subunit ribosomal RNA", at positions 62 to 1093 of the family's 1533-position model. Lineage: Bacteria; Pseudomonadati; Calditrichota; Calditrichia; Calditrichales; Calditrichaceae. The record is from RNAcentral.
UCGUGCGAGAAAGUCCCUUUCGGGGGAUAAGUAAAGCGGCGACCUGGUGAGUAACACGUGGAUAAUCUACCUUUAAGUUGGGGAUAAGCUUCCGAAAGGGGGUCUAAUACCGAAUAAUAUCGUUGGAUGGCCUCAUCUGACGAUCAAAGGCGGCGCAAGCUGUCGCUUAGAGAUGAGUCCGCGCUCCAUUAGCCAGUUGGCGGGGUAAAAGCCCACCAAAGCUACGAUGGAUAGCCGGCCUGAGAGGGUGUACGGCCACACUGGAACUGAGAUACGGUCCAGACUCCUACGGGAGGCAGCAGUAGGGAAUAUUGCGCAAUGCUCGCAAGAGUGACGCAGCGACGCCGCGUGGGCGAUGAAGCUUCUUGGAGUGUAAAGCCCUGUCAGGAGGGACGAAUGAUUGCAGUCGUAACUGGCUGCGAUUUGACGGUACCUUCAGAGGAAGCUCCGGCCAACUCCGUGCCAGCAGCCGCGGUAACACGGGGGGAGCGAGCGUUGUUCGGAAUUACUGGGUGUAAAGGGCUCGUAGGCUGGGAAGAAGGUCGAAUGUGAAAACUCAUGGCUUAACCAUGAGCCUGCAUCCGAAACCACUUCUCUUGAGUAUCGGAGAGGAUAGCGGAACUCCUGGUGUAGCGGUGAAAUGCGUAGAUAUCAGGAGGAACGCCGGUGGCGAAGGCGGCUAUCUGGCCGAAUACUGACGCUCAGGAGCGAAGGCCGGGGGAGCAAACAGGAUUAGAUACCCUGGUAGUCCCGGCAGUAAACGAUGGGUACUAGGUGUUGGAGGGAAUUGACCCCUUCAGUGCCGCAGCUAACGCAUUAAGUACCCCACCUGGGGAGUACGACCGCAAGGUUGAAACUCAAAGGAAUUGACGGGGGCCCGCACAAGCAGUGGAGUAUGUGGUUCAAUUCGACGCAACGCGAAGAACCUUACCUGGGUUUGAAAUGUGUUGGAAAGCCUCAGAGAUGAGGCCCCUCCGCAAGGAGUCGACACAUAGGUGCUGCAUGGCUGUCGUCAGCUCGUGCCGUGAGGUGUUGGGUUAAGUCCCGCAAC